This 698-nucleotide long non-coding RNA is filed under the name Phoenix dactylifera (date palm). RNAcentral describes it as "long non-coding RNA (PDAC_LNC019155)". Lineage: Eukaryota; Viridiplantae; Streptophyta; Magnoliopsida; Arecales; Arecaceae. The record is from RNAcentral.
CUCACAGCUCAAAACAAUUUUGAGAUUUCUAAGCCAGUCCUUGUAAUUUGUACCGGUCAAGCGGUUGGUCUCAAGAAUACGGGUCAAAGGGUUUGAGGCUGACAUUAUGAUCUGCAGAGAGUAAAGAUUCUAGUUAGACUUUUGUACUUGAUCCUAAAUCUGUUCUAAGGACUUUUAGAACGAAUGUACCUCCCACUAUUUUCUCAAAUUCCUCACACUCUCCUGGUAGGAAAAACGGAAAUCCUACACGACUAGGAUUUCUAGUGGGUACUGCGGUUCCACCGAUUUACAUGCCACCUCACCUAAUAGUUAUUGAUGACACAUAAAUUGAUGAAUGUACAACUCUUGUACAAUGCUUCUCAAGCAUGUUGUAGUGCUUCUUGGUCUCUAAGCUAUGAAAACCUCACCUAAUAGUUAUUGGUCUUAUUUCUUAGUUAAGUCAGACCCACCGUAUAACCGUAGGAAUAAAGUCGUCAUUGGGUCCUCACCUAACAGUUAUUGGUGCCCAACCCCACCUUUACCCUACAACAUCUCAUGUCUAUAGAGAGGUCCAGCCCCCCGAUGCAACUUGCCCACUGUGUUCAACCGAGACAAAUCAACAUCAGAAAGACCUUAGCAGCUCUACUACAGUGGAAGACCUAUUGACUUAAUAUUGGUUAAUCAGGUCUUAGUGUUUGCAACUUGAGCUCUUCAUAAGA